Trichechus manatus latirostris (Florida manatee) is the source of this 107-nucleotide small nuclear RNA. The record is from RefSeq and is a predicted model, not a curated record. Lineage: Eukaryota; Metazoa; Chordata; Mammalia; Sirenia; Trichechidae.
GUACUCACUUCAGAAGAACAUAUACUAAAAUUGAAAUGAUACAGAGAAGAUUAGCAUGACUCUUGUGUAAGGAUGAUACCCAAAUUUGUGAAGUGUUCUACAUUUUU